GGCAACCUGGCCGAGCGGUCUAAGGCGCCAGGUUAAGGUCACACCUUGACGCAAUAUCCUGGUCUCUUCGGAGGCGAGAGUUCGAAUCUCUCGGUUGUCA
This 100-nucleotide transfer RNA is filed under the name Yarrowia lipolytica. RNAcentral's name for it is "tRNA-Leu". It matches the Rfam family "tRNA". Rfam says of the family: Transfer RNA (tRNA) molecules are approximately 80 nucleotides in length. Their secondary structure includes four short double-helical elements and three loops (D, anti-codon, and T loops). Further hydrogen bonds mediate the characteristic L-shaped molecular structure. tRNAs have two regions of fundamental functional importance: the anti-codon, which is responsible for specific mRNA codon recognition, and the 3' end, to which the tRNAs corresponding amino acid is attached (by aminoacyl-tRNA synthetases). tRNAs cope with the degeneracy of the genetic code in two manners: having more than one tRNA (with a specific anti-codon) for a particular amino acid; and 'wobble' base-pairing, i.e. permitting non-standard base-pairing at the 3rd anti-codon position. RNAcentral also lists the same sequence under 1 other name. The record is from RNAcentral. Lineage: Eukaryota; Fungi; Ascomycota; Dipodascomycetes; Dipodascales.